This 69-nucleotide transfer RNA is filed under the name Bos taurus (domestic cattle). It matches the Rfam family "tRNA". From Rfam's summary of the family: Transfer RNA (tRNA) molecules are approximately 80 nucleotides in length. Their secondary structure includes four short double-helical elements and three loops (D, anti-codon, and T loops). Further hydrogen bonds mediate the characteristic L-shaped molecular structure. tRNAs have two regions of fundamental functional importance: the anti-codon, which is responsible for specific mRNA codon recognition, and the 3' end, to which the tRNAs corresponding amino acid is attached (by aminoacyl-tRNA synthetases). tRNAs cope with the degeneracy of the genetic code in two manners: having more than one tRNA (with a specific anti-codon) for a particular amino acid; and 'wobble' base-pairing, i.e. permitting non-standard base-pairing at the 3rd anti-codon position. The record is from Rfam by way of RNAcentral. RNAcentral also lists the same sequence under 3 other names. Lineage: Eukaryota; Metazoa; Chordata; Mammalia; Artiodactyla; Bovidae.
CCUGGUGGCUCAGAUGGUAAAGCAUCUGCCUACAAUGCAGGAGACUUGGGUUCAAUCCCUAGGUCAGGA